Molecule: transfer RNA, 76 nt
Filed under: Vampirovibrionales bacterium
Lineage: Bacteria; Bacillati; Candidatus Melainabacteria; Vampirovibriophyceae; Vampirovibrionales
Also listed under: 1 other name
Description: tRNA-Phe
Rfam family: tRNA
About the family: Transfer RNA (tRNA) molecules are approximately 80 nucleotides in length. Their secondary structure includes four short double-helical elements and three loops (D, anti-codon, and T loops). Further hydrogen bonds mediate the characteristic L-shaped molecular structure. tRNAs have two regions of fundamental functional importance: the anti-codon, which is responsible for specific mRNA codon recognition, and the 3' end, to which the tRNAs corresponding amino acid is attached (by aminoacyl-tRNA synthetases). tRNAs cope with the degeneracy of the genetic code in two manners: having more than one tRNA (with a specific anti-codon) for a particular amino acid; and 'wobble' base-pairing, i.e. permitting non-standard base-pairing at the 3rd anti-codon position.
Source: RNAcentral
GGCCGAUUAGCUCAGUUGGUAGAGCAGAGGACUGAAAAUCCUUGUGUCCACAGUUCAAUUCUGUGAUCGGCCACCA